Long non-coding RNA from Triticum urartu, 2574 nucleotides. RefSeq lists it as uncharacterized. NCBI's taxonomy places the organism in Eukaryota, Viridiplantae, Streptophyta, Magnoliopsida, Poales, Poaceae. The record is from RefSeq and is a predicted model, not a curated record.
ACUCCUCGCCUGUUUUGCCCUCUUCCGUCUAGAUUCUCACCCGGGACCCUAUAAAUAUAGUUCCACCUUAGCUAUAUGUACCAGCAACAGCAACAGCAGCAGCAGCAGCAAUGAUUGAUCGUUUGUGACCCGAUGACACACACCACGAGCUCCUCCAAUGGCACCCAUAUAAUCCGGGUCAGGGAGGUGCACCUGGCCACCGUUAUCUGGUUGUGACGGCGAGAGGUAUAUAUACUCUGUACUGCAUUGCUCUGCUUUGCCAUGCUGAGUCCAUUUCUAGUGACUGGCCUGUUGUGACGGCGAGAGGUAUAUAUACUCUGUACUGCACUGCUCUACUUUGCCAUGAUGAGUCCACUUCUAGUGACUGAACUGUCGUGACGGCGAGAGGUAUAUAUACUCUAUACUACACUGCUCUGCUUUGCCAUGAUGAGUCCACUUCUAGUGACUGAACUGCGAGAGGUAUAUAUAUUCUGUAAUGCACUGGUCUGCUUUGCCAUGAUUGAGUCCACUUCUAGUGACUGAAUUGUCGUGACGGCGAGAGGUAUAUAUACUCUGUACUGCACUGCUCUGCUUUGCCAUGAUGAGUCCACCUCUAGUGACUGAAUUGUUGUGACGGCGAGAGGUAUAUAUACUCUGUACUGAAUGUGAAGUGAGAGCAUAACUAUGGAAGUAUUUGUGGGCGAUCGAGGUUAUGUUUUCUUGGGAGGGCGAACAUUAAUUCAUAGCGAACCAUAGAGUAAAUAAAAAACAAACAUUUUUUAUAUAAAUGUUCAUGUUAGUGUAACAAGCGUUCUUGACAAUUUUCAUGCGAAAAGGAAUAGCAGUGCUUCAUCAGUGAAAAAAACAGAAUUAAAUGUAACAUUUGAAGGUAACAUUUAGUGUUUGACUUUGUUUUUUUGGACAGGUCAAAAUAAUAUAGCUUUUCACCUAAAAUUUGCAGGUAGCACUUGGAUGUGACCACGAACACAUCUAAUUUUAUUUUGAUUUUUUCUUACAUUUGAAAAUGCAUUUUUGGCGCUCAGGAGCAUGUGCUUCUGGAAGAAGCCAAAUUGGAUUUCCGUGUUUUCUCAUACUUUUUCCCUAAUCAUAUAUUUGUGUGUCUGUAUUAAUUGCAAUCAUAAUCAACUAUAGUUAAUUGCAUUGUGAAUCGACUAUUCAAUAUUUGAAAGUGCCACAAGGGCUGUUUCUGUAUUAAUUGCACUGUGUGCGUUUGUAUUCCACCUGACCACCUGUACUAAGUUUCUGGUACUCCCAACGGUAGUGCAUAGCCUGCACAUGACCGGCAGUCCGGCACCAAAAACACCUUGUAUGCAUCUACUACGGUUGCCCAGACGUCGCUUUCCGUGGAUGAAAUACAACGAACUCCCCUAUCUAUACAGCGAGAUAGACGAUCCCAGGGCAUCAGGUGCUCGUCCACCAAAACUACUUUCCAUAGAAACAUACAUAGCUUACUAGUGAAGCUAGUAUAUGACGCAAAUGCUUACUCAGAGCUAGCUGGUAUUUUUGCUUAGGUCGGUUCAGAACUGCUAUAUAAGGAGCAGCUCACCACGGAUUGUAACAAGCUCAUCAGUACUGAAAUACACUAGAAAAACAGCUUCACAGCGUGGAUGUCAUCAUGGUUAACUAACCGAGAGAAACAUGAGGGAGACAAAGUCUCCACCUCUCACCACUAUGCCUUGAUCGGGAGCUUCACACCGUGGAUGUCAUCGUGGCCGUAUAUGAAUCGUCCCCCACAUCCAGCUCUGAUCAAUUUCAGAUACAGGUGGACGUUUCAUUGUACGGCCUGAUGACAUCCACGGCGUGGCUCUCCCAGAAACAGCCUGCUCAAGGGAGAAACAAAGCUGCGACAGGCAGACAAGCCAUAUACAAGUGAAGUGUGCCCCCCGACGGUUACCUUCAGGCACAGAGCCACGGUCGUCUUCGGCGACUUCUCGGGGAGGCGGCUCCAAGCGGUGGCCUCUCUGAACGCACGGGAGCGCCCUCACACGCCACAACAACAGCGCAGCACGGCUGCACGGCGGCAUGGUCGGCCACCGGAGCGUGGCGGCAGCGACCGCGUCCACGCGUGGCGGCAAAGGCAACAGGCGCACGGCCGAGGCCUUGUGAUCAGUGCGCAGCCCGGUCCACGCGCAAGGCGAGGCGGAAGCCAAACCUCCUGGCGUGGCUCUCCCGGUCGCAUGGCGGCCCAUGGCGCAGCGGAGGUUCUGCCCGGCGCGGUGCGGCGGUGUAGCGCGUGGCUAUGCGGCGGCGCGGCAUUGGCAACGUGCGGUUGCAUGACCCGCCGGCAUGGUCGGGCUGGCUGUUGGCCGCCCGUCGACGGUGACGGUGCGGCGUUGACUGUGCGGCACGGAUUUCUCCGGCGAUAGGCCAUGCGGCUUGGAGGAAGUGGGGAUUGGGUAAUCGGUGGAAUAUUUACAUUUCGGUCUAUAAUCUUUCUGUUAUUCACAGAAAAGACCAUAUAUUUCUCUGGCAAAGAGGCAUCUGUUUUGCGAUUAGUCACCACGUAGACUUGGAAAAUAGGAACCCUCAAACGCCUCGUGCUUGGUGUUAUGCAUCCGAGUCUCUUAUAUUUCA